UGAUUUUCUGCAUCGACCUUGCCGAGAAACACACAACAACUUUUUCAUCAUGCCCUUAUCGCUUACAGUGUAUACAAUAGUUUGGGAGAUUAUCAUCUUGAAUAAUGCUCAAUAACUUUGCCUGAAUCUUUGUCCACGAAGAAUAACGUUAGUUUUUUGGAUGCUUAUUUAGUAGAUCUAGAAUAACCUUUAACUCUAGGCCUG
RNAcentral lists this unclassified non-coding RNA (204 nucleotides) under Hevea brasiliensis (rubber tree). The record is from RNAcentral. Lineage: Eukaryota; Viridiplantae; Streptophyta; Magnoliopsida; Malpighiales; Euphorbiaceae.